Molecule: ribosomal RNA, 301 nt
Filed under: uncultured bacterium
Lineage: Bacteria
Description: partial 16S ribosomal RNA
Rfam family: Bacterial small subunit ribosomal RNA
Source: RNAcentral
CAGUCGCCGCGGUAACACGAAGGGUGCAAGCGUUAAUCGGAAUUACUGGGCGUAGAGCGUGCGUAGGCGGUUUGUUAAGUCUGUUGUGAAAUCCCCGGGCUCAACCUGGGAAUGGCAAUGGAUACUGGCAAGCUAGAGUGUGUCAGAGGAUGGUGGAAUUCCCGGUGUAGCGGUGAAAUGCGUAGAGAUCGGGAGGAACAUCAGUGGCGAAGGCGGCCAUCUGGGACAACACUGACGCUGAGGCACGAAAGCGUUGGGAGCAAACAGGAUUAGAUACCCCCGUAGUCCCUGUCUCUUAUAC